AAAAAAAAAAAAAAAAAAAAAGAACACGGAGUAGAAAGGAGACCUAACAAUAUUCAACUUUUUAAAAGAAAAUGGGGCAUAAACUCUGGAAACUAUGCAGCAUCAUAUGAAUUGAGCUGAACUGAACUAAAAGCACAAAAGUCAUACAACAAAAAAGUGUAAAUUUCUGGUUGAAAUAUUAAAUUUCCAUAAAGCUGUUCACCAGGGAAAUUUGGGAAAAAUAAUCUUGACAGUACGUGGAAAUCUAUUUAACUAAAAAGAAUGGUUAACCCCGAAUUGCUAAGCAACAGAGCAAUCUAUGAAACCACCACGAACUAAAAUGUCAAACUAAGCAUAUCAAUAGCAACUACAGAUUCAUUAGCUUCAAGCAAAAUCCAAGAAGAUCACAGCAUGGUAGAAACAAAUAAAAUGCGAAACAUUUGUGAAUACUUAAAAAGGCAAUCCACAAUUUCCCCGGAAACCCUAGUUGCUUGGGUUCUGAAUUAUGCCAUAAACCCCAAGACCUCUUUCCAAAAAUGCAACAGACUUUUAACUAGUAAAAUUCAAAAAAAAAAAUCUAUAAACCCAAGAAAAAUUU
This 577-nucleotide long non-coding RNA is filed under the name Olea europaea subsp. europaea. Lineage: Eukaryota; Viridiplantae; Streptophyta; Magnoliopsida; Lamiales; Oleaceae. The record is from RNAcentral.